UCCGGCUUAUCACCGGCAGUCCCUCUAGAGUGCCCAACUUAAUGAUGGCAACUAAAGGCGAGGGUUGCGCUCGUUGCGGGACUUAACCCAACAUCUCACGACACGAGCUGACGACAGCCAUGCAGCACCUGUGUUCCCGCCAGCCGAACUGAAGGAUCCCGUCUCCAGGACCCAUACGGGACAUGUCAAGGGUUGGUAAGGUGGGGAUGACGUAGCUAAGCCUUC
Molecule: unclassified non-coding RNA, 225 nt
Filed under: uncultured Alphaproteobacteria bacterium
Lineage: Bacteria; Pseudomonadati; Pseudomonadota; Alphaproteobacteria
Description: contains 16S-23S intergenic spacer region
Source: RNAcentral